This 371-nucleotide ribosomal RNA is filed under the name uncultured organism. RNAcentral's name for it is "partial 16S ribosomal RNA". It matches the Rfam family "Bacterial small subunit ribosomal RNA", at positions 527 to 896 of the family's 1533-position model. The record is from RNAcentral.
GGAGGGUGCAAGCGUUAAUCGGAAUUACUGGGCGUAAAGCGCGCGUAGGCGGCUCUGUAAGUCAAAUGUGAAAGCCCCGGGCUUAACCUGGGAAUUGCAUUCGAUACUGCAGAACUAGAGUAUGGUAGAGGGAAGUGGAAUUUCCGGUGUAGCGGUGAAAUGCGUAGAUAUCGGAAGGAACACCAGUGGCGAAGGCGACUUCCUGGGCCAAUACUGACGCUGAGGUGCGAAAGCGUGGGGAGCAAACAGGGAUUAGAUACCCUGGGAGUCCACGCCGUAAACGAUGAGAACUAGAUGUCGGGGGAAUCUGUCCUUCGGUGUCGCAGCUAACGCGUUAAGUUCUCCGCCUGGGGAGUACGCCGGCAACGGUA